GGGGUGUAAAUGAGUUAAGUUGCUCAUGAGCUACUCGAGUUCGAUUGGACUCGAUUAUUAUCGAGCUUGAGUAAUCGAGUCGAGCUCAAGCAGUAGGAUACUCGGCUCGAAAGCUUGCGAGCCUACUCGAAUUUAUAUAUAUUUUUAAUAAUACUAUUUUUAUUUAUAAUAUAUAUAUAUUAAUUUAUAUAUUAUUAGUAAGUUAAAGUUCGAUUUCGAA
RNAcentral lists this long non-coding RNA (220 nucleotides) under Elaeis guineensis (African oil palm). RNAcentral's name for it is "long non-coding RNA (EGUI_LNC057655)". Lineage: Eukaryota; Viridiplantae; Streptophyta; Magnoliopsida; Arecales; Arecaceae. The record is from RNAcentral.